Molecule: ribosomal RNA, 359 nt
Filed under: Branchiostoma californiense (California lancelet)
Lineage: Eukaryota; Metazoa; Chordata; Leptocardii; Amphioxiformes; Branchiostomatidae
Description: SSU rRNA
Rfam family: Eukaryotic small subunit ribosomal RNA
Source: RNAcentral
GUUUACUUUGANAANAUUAGAGUGUUCAAAGCAGGCCUGGCGCCUGRAUANUGGUGCAUGGAAUAAUGGAAUAGGACCUCGGUUCUNUUUCGUUGGUUUUCGGAACGUGAGGUAAUGAUCNAGAGGGACGGACGGGGGCAUUCGUAUUGCGGCGGGAGAGGUGAAAUUCUUGGAUCGCCGCAAGACGAACCACUGCGAAAGCAUUUGCCAAGAAUGUUUUCAUUGAUCAAGAACGAAAGUUGUGGGCGCGAAGGCGAUCAGAUACCGCCCUAGUCACAACCAUAAACGAUGCCAACCAGCGAUCCGCCGGCGUUACUUCGAUGACCCGAUGGGCAGCUCCCGGGAAACCUGAGUYUUCG